UACGUAGGGUCCGAGCGUUGUCCGGAUUUAUUGGGCGUAAAGAGCUCGUAGGCGGUUCCGUAAGUCAGAUGUGAAAACUCAGGGCUCAACCCGGAGACGCCAUCUGAUACUGCGGUGACUGGAGUCUGGUAGGGGAACACGGAAUUCCUGGUGUAGCGGUGAAAUGCGCAGAUAUCAGGAGGAACACCGAUGGCGAAGGCAGUGUUCUGGGCCGAUACUGACGCUGAGGAGCGAAAGCGUGGGGAGCGAACAGG
RNAcentral lists this ribosomal RNA (254 nucleotides) under uncultured bacterium. RNAcentral describes it as "partial 16S ribosomal RNA". It matches the Rfam family "Bacterial small subunit ribosomal RNA", at positions 524 to 776 of the family's 1533-position model. The record is from RNAcentral.